Camellia sinensis is the source of this 783-nucleotide non-coding RNA. NCBI's taxonomy places the organism in Eukaryota, Viridiplantae, Streptophyta, Magnoliopsida, Ericales, Theaceae. The record is from RefSeq and is a predicted model, not a curated record.
GUGGAAAAAGUAAUGAAAAAAAUUUAAAACAGCAAGUAACUCCUCAUCCUGUUUUGUUCCUUCCUUUGUUUUGUUUCUCUGUUUUCCCUAAAUUCCAUCUUGGUUCAUCAGAGAGCAAGUAACUCACCAUCGACUCUCCUCCUCCAGCGACCCACCGACUGUCCUCUAUCUGAGGCAUUUCUCUUUUUAAUUUUGGACAAGUGAGAGCAUGGAUGAACUUCAUAAGAUCACAAGGAGGCACAGGUUCUAUACAGAUUUCGGAUGCCUCUAGUGGACAUCGACGAGUUAGGGAGUCCGUGGGAGAUGACACCGAAGAUGAUGAAUUGUUGGAUUCUCAUGAGGAGGUUAUGCAAAAAGAUUAGUGGUGGUAGAUAUUAAUGGUAGGGCACGGGGAUAAUUGUUUUCUUGAACAUCUAUCUUUAUGUUUUGGGCUUGCCAUUUUUCUAUUUUUGUUUUCAAGUUUUGCAGAAAGAUUAGUGGUGAGGUAGAGAUUAAUGGUGGCAUGGGGGCUAUUUUUUUUUGAACAUGUAUUUUUAUGUUUUUGCUGUCAUUUUUCUAUUUUUGUUUUUCGGUUUUGCAGAAAGAAUAGUGAUGGUAGAGAUUGAUGGUGCGGCAUUGUGGCUAAUUAUUUUUUUGGAUAUUUUUUUGGCUGCCAUCUAGACUUAAGUACUUAAUAUUUAGAGCCUAUUGAUAUCUUAUGGUUUGUGUUAACCAAUUAUUGUUAAUAUUUUGAUGUAAUUGAACAGAUGUUGGAUUUAUAUUGAUUAAAUAUGUUUCUAUUAA